UGCUGUUUUGUACCUGAGCAGAUUCAGCUCUCUGCUGUCCGAGCUGAGGCGAAAGUCCGGUGCCUUAAGCGUGGAGAGCGGUGGUGGCCAGAGGCUUGGCGAGUUCCCCUUCAGGUGUGCCUCGGCGAGCGGCCUGUUGAAGAACAGUCAGAUUGUAAGAUCCUAGAUGGACACUUUGUUUCUCCCAUGGCCCACUAUGUGCCUGGUAUCAUGCCAAUUGAAUCUGUUGUUGCAAGAUUCCAGUUUAUCGUGCCUAAGGAAUGGAACAGCAGGUACCGACCUGUGUGCAUUCAUCUGGCUGGAACAGGAGACCAUCAUUACUGGAGGCGCAGAACACUCAUGGCUCGUCCUAUGAUUAAGGAGGCCAGGAUGGCUUCAUUGUUGUUAGAAAACCCUUAUUAUAUCCUUUUGUGAUACUCAAAACAUUUCUUUCUCUCUGUUUAUGUACUUACUCUUCAAAAGAAGAACAUCCUGUGCUCUCAACCACUGAGCCAUCUCUCCAGCCCCCAUGGUAACUAACUUUUCAAAACUAGUUAAAUUCA
This 542-nucleotide long non-coding RNA is filed under the name Mus musculus (house mouse). RNAcentral's name for it is "predicted gene 2011". The record is from RNAcentral. Lineage: Eukaryota; Metazoa; Chordata; Mammalia; Rodentia; Muridae.